This 612-nucleotide ribosomal RNA is filed under the name Escherichia coli. Its description in RNAcentral is "partial 23S ribosomal RNA". It matches the Rfam family "Bacterial large subunit ribosomal RNA", at positions 584 to 1197 of the family's 2925-position model. The record is from RNAcentral. Lineage: Bacteria; Pseudomonadati; Pseudomonadota; Gammaproteobacteria; Enterobacterales; Enterobacteriaceae.
CUUAGGCGUGUGACUGCGUACCUUUUGUAUAAUGGGUCAGCGACUUAUAUUCUGUAGCAAGGUUAACCGAAUAGGGGAGCCGAAGGGAAACCGAGUCUUAACUGGGCGUUAAGUUGCAGGGUAUAGACCCGAAACCCGGUGAUCUAGCCAUGGGCAGGUUGAAGGUUGGGUAACACUAACUGGAGGACCGAACCGACUAAUGUUGAAAAAUUAGCGGAUGACUUGUGGCUGGGGGUGAAAGGCCAAUCAAACCGGGAGAUAGCUGGUUCUCCCCGAAAGCUAUUUAGGUAGCGCCUCGUGAAUUCAUCUCCGGGGGUAGAGCACUGUUUCGGCAAGGGGGUCAUCCCGACUUACCAACCCGAUGCAAACUGCGAAUACCGGAGAAUGUUAUCACGGGAGACACACGGCGGGUGCUAACGUCCGUCGUGAAGAGGGAAACAACCCAGACCGCCAGCUAAGGUCCCAAAGUCAUGGUUAAGUGGGAAACGAUGUGGGAAGGCCCAGACAGCCAGGAUGUUGGCUUAGAAGCAGCCAUCAUUUAAAGAAAGCGUAAUAGCUCACUGGUCGAGUCGGCCUGCGCGGAAGAUGUAACGGGGCUAAACCAUGCACCGA